UGGGGAAACCCACUGGCAUAAGCCAGUAUCAUUGAGUGAAUACAUAGCUCAAUGAAGCGAACCGGGAGAACUGAAACAUCUAAGUACCCCGAGGAAAAGAAAUCAACCGAGAUUCCGAAAGUAGCGGCGAGCGAAAUUGGAUUAGCCCUUAAGCUUUACAUGUGUUAGACGAACGGUCUGGAAAGUCCGACGAUACAGGGUGAUAGUCCCGUAGUUGUAGAUGCAUGUUCAGUGAAAUCGAGUAGGGCGGGACACGUGUUAUCCUGUCUGAAUAUGGGGGGACCAUCCUCCAAGGCUAAAUACUCCUGACUGACCGAUAGUGAACCAGUACCGUGAGGGAAAGGCGAAAAGAACCCCUGUGAGGGGAGUGAAAUAGAACCUGAAACCGUGUACGUACAAGCAGUAGGAGCACCUUCGUGGUGUGACUGCGUACCUUUUGUAUAAUGGGUCAGCGACUUAUAUUCAGUGGCAAGGUUAACCAUCUAGGGGAGCCGUAGGGAAACCGAGUCUUAACUGGGCGCCAUAGUCUCUGGAUAUAGACCCGAAACCGAGUGAUCUAGCCAUGGGCAGGUUGAAGGUUGAGUAACAUCAACUGGAGGACCGAACCGACUAAUGUUGAAAAAUUAGCGGAUGACUUGUGGCUAGGGGUGAAAGGCCAAUCAAACUCGGAGAUAGCUGGUUCUCCCCGAAAGCUAUUUAGGUAGCGCCUCGGACGAAUACUACUGGGGGUAGAGCACUGUUAAGGCUAGGGGGUCAUCCCGACUUACCAACCCUUUGCAAACUCCGAAUACCAGUAAGUACUAUCCGGGAGACACACGGCGGGUGCUAACGUCCGUCGUGGAGAGGGAAACAACCCAGACCGCCAGCUAAGGUCCCAAAUUACAGCUAAGUGGGAAACGAUGUGGGAAGGCUUAGACAGCUAGGAUGUUGGCUUAGAAGCAGCCAUCAUUUAAAGAAAGCGUAAUAGCUCACUAGUCGAGUCGGCCUGCGCGGAAGAUGUAACGGGGCUAAGUU
This 1014-nucleotide ribosomal RNA is filed under the name Vibrio vulnificus. RNAcentral describes it as "partial 23S ribosomal RNA". It matches the Rfam family "Bacterial large subunit ribosomal RNA", at positions 119 to 1188 of the family's 2925-position model. Lineage: Bacteria; Pseudomonadati; Pseudomonadota; Gammaproteobacteria; Vibrionales; Vibrionaceae. The record is from RNAcentral.